AGAGUUUGAUCAUGGCUCAGAGCGAACGCUGGCGGCAGGCCUAACACAUGCAAGUCGAGCGCCCCUCCUUCAAGCGAGCUUGGAGGAUUGCGGAGCGGUCUCCUGGGCGGGCGAAAGCUCGCUUGACGGACAUCGCUUUGAGAUCAAGCGAGCCUUUAGGGGCUCGCUUGAUGGAGGGGAGCGGCAGACGGGAGAGUAACACGUGGGAACGUACCCUUUGGUUCGGAACAACCCAGGGAAACUUGGGCUAAUACCGAAUAAGCCCUUACGGGGAAAGAUUUAUCGCCGAAGGAUCGGCCCGCGUCUGAUUAGCUAGUUGGUGAGGUAACGGCUCACCAAGGCGACGAUCAGUAGCUGGUCUGAGAGGAUGAUCAGCCUCACUGGGACUGAGACACGGCCCAGACUCCUACGGGAGGCAGCAGUGGGGAAUAUUGGACAAUGGGCGCAAGCCUGAUCCAGCCAUGCCGCGUGGGUGAUGAAGGCCCUAGGGUUGUAAAGCCCUUUCGGCGGGGAAGAUAGAUGACGGUACCCGCAGAAGAAGCCCCGGCUAACAUCGUGCCAGCAGCCGCGGUA
Molecule: ribosomal RNA, 573 nt
Filed under: uncultured Pseudomonadota bacterium
Lineage: Bacteria; Pseudomonadati; Pseudomonadota
Description: bacterial SSU rRNA
Rfam family: Bacterial small subunit ribosomal RNA
Source: RNAcentral